AGGUCACUGCUAUCGGUGUUCGAUUAAGCCAUGCGAGUCGUGAGGGGUAAAGCCCUCGGCGGAGUGCUCAGUAACACGUGGACAACCUACCCAAGAGUCAGGGAUAACCCCGGGAAACUGGGGAUAAUACCUGAUAGGCCAUGACAUCUGGAAUCGAGUUGUGGUUUAAACGUAAGGCUCUUGGAUGGGUCUGCGGCGGAUUAGGUUGUUGCCGGUGUAACGUACCAGCAAGCCUGUAAUCCGUACGGGUUGUGGGAGCAAGAGCCCGGAGAUGGAUUCUGAGACACGAAUCCAGGCCCUACGGGGCGCAGCAGGCGCGAAAACUCUACAAUGCAGGCAACUGCGAUAGGGGAACAUCGAGUGGCAUCCACCAUGGAUGUCUGUCCAAUCGUCUAAAAAACGAUUGUCAGCAAGGGCCGGGCAAGACCGGUGCCAGCCGCCGCGGUAAUACCGGCGGCUCGAGUGGUGGCCGAUAUUAUUGAGUCUAAAGGGUCCGUAGCCGGCUUUGCAAGUCCUAUGGGAAACCCAGCGGCUUAACCGUUGGGCUUUCAUGGGAUACUACAUUGCUUGGGACUGGGAGAGGUAGGAGGUACUCAGGGGGUAGGGGUGAAAUCCUGUAAUCCUUUGGGGACCACCGGUGGCGAAGGCGUCCUACCAGAACAGGUCCGACGGUGAGGGACGAAAGCUAGGGGCACGAACCGGAUUAGAUACCCGGGUAGUCCUAGCCGUAAACGAUGCUCGCUAGGUGUCACGGCAGUCGUGAAUUGUCGUGGUGCCGUAGGGAAGCCGUGAAGCGAGCCACUUGGGAAGUACGACCGCAAGGUUGAAACUUAA
RNAcentral lists this ribosomal RNA (834 nucleotides) under uncultured soil archaeon. Its description in RNAcentral is "bacterial SSU rRNA". It matches the Rfam family "Archaeal small subunit ribosomal RNA", at positions 21 to 859 of the family's 1478-position model. The record is from RNAcentral.